GGCCCCGUGGUCUAACGGUUAGGAUGCAGGCCUUUCAAGCCUGAGGCACGGGUUCAACUCCCGUCGGGGCUA
Molecule: transfer RNA, 72 nt
Filed under: Armatimonadota bacterium
Lineage: Bacteria; Bacillati; Armatimonadota
Description: Armatimonadetes bacterium (fermentation metagenome) tRNA-Glu
Rfam family: tRNA
About the family: Transfer RNA (tRNA) molecules are approximately 80 nucleotides in length. Their secondary structure includes four short double-helical elements and three loops (D, anti-codon, and T loops).
Source: RNAcentral